Molecule: ribosomal RNA, 452 nt
Filed under: uncultured bacterium
Lineage: Bacteria
Description: bacterial SSU rRNA
Rfam family: Bacterial small subunit ribosomal RNA
Source: RNAcentral
CACAAGGAGCAAUCUGAGGUGGCGACCGGCGCACGGGUGAGUAACACGUAUGCAACCUGCCUGUAAGCGGGGAAUAACCCGUUGAAAGACGGACUAAUACCGCAUAAUACUAAAUUACUGCAUGGUAAUUUAUUUAAACAUUUAUGGCUUACAGAUGGGCAUGCGCAUGAUUAGCUAGUUGGAGAGGUAACGGCUCCCCAAGGCAACGAUCAUUAGGGGUUCUGAGAGGAAGGUCCCCCCACACUGGUACUGAGACGCGGACCAGACUCCUACGGGAGGCAGCAGUGAGGAAUAUUGGUCAAUGGACGAGAGUCUGAACCAGCCAAGUCGCGUGCAGGAAGAAUUGUCCUAUGGAUUGUAAACUGCUUUUGCAGGGGAAUAAAGUGCAUCACGUGUGAUGUUUUGUAUGUACUCUGCGAAUAAGGAUCGGCUAACUCCGUGCCAGCCGCCGC